GACACGUGUCCAGGCAGGCACGUGUGUCUGCCCGCAGUAUUUACAGCCUGGCUGGGAUGGAACGGAAGGAGGGAGGAGAAAGAAGGCAGGACUUCCACUGCCUCAGCUAGACAGGAGACCAUCAGGUUGCUGGCAAGCAGGGAGGCAGCCUGUCCUGACAGGUGUCUGUGUGCAAGCACCCCCAAGGUCCCCCAGAAGAGAAGGGUCACAGCUGGCUGGGUGAUGGGAGCCACUGCUGGUGGAGUCUUCAGGAAGCAGGCUGGCCUGCUGUCUCCUGCACCUGCUCCAGGUCACAGAGCACACUUGAGGAUGAGGGGACAGGAAACCAAGGCCCUGGGAAGGGGAAGAGACCUGCGUUAGGACACAAAGCAGAUGGAGGCCUGUCUAUCUCCAGCCCGAAGAUGUGAUGGCAAGCAAGCGCAAGACAACAUCAAAUACAAGAACUCCAAACCCCUGCCCUGCCAUUAUCGGCCUGUGUGGCCCCAGGCUGCUUAUUCUAUGACUCUGUG
Molecule: long non-coding RNA, 509 nt
Filed under: Cricetulus griseus (Chinese hamster)
Lineage: Eukaryota; Metazoa; Chordata; Mammalia; Rodentia; Cricetidae
Description: lncRNA (ENSCGRG00015031935.1)
Source: RNAcentral